Molecule: ribosomal RNA, 245 nt
Filed under: uncultured bacterium
Lineage: Bacteria
Description: partial 16S ribosomal RNA
Rfam family: Bacterial small subunit ribosomal RNA
Source: RNAcentral
UACAGAGGUCCCAAGCGUUGUUCGGAUUUACUGGGCGUAAAGGGUGCGUAGGUGGUUGGGUAAGUCUGAUGUGAAAUCUCGGAGCUUAACUCCGAAACGGCAUUGGAUACUAUCCAGCUUGAGAGUUGGAGGGGGGACUGGAAUGCUCGGUGUAGCAGUGAAAUGCGUAGAUAUCGAGCGGAACACCAGUGGCGAAGGCGAGUCCCUGGACAACUUCUGACACUGAGGCACGAAAGCCAGGGGAG